Molecule: transfer RNA, 85 nt
Filed under: Rickettsiaceae bacterium
Lineage: Bacteria; Pseudomonadati; Pseudomonadota; Alphaproteobacteria; Rickettsiales; Rickettsiaceae
Description: tRNA-Leu
Rfam family: tRNA
About the family: Transfer RNA (tRNA) molecules are approximately 80 nucleotides in length. Their secondary structure includes four short double-helical elements and three loops (D, anti-codon, and T loops).
Source: RNAcentral
GCCUCUGUGAUGGAAUGGUAGACAUGACAGACUCAAAAUCUGUUGCUCUUUGAGCGUGUCGGUUCAAGUCCGGCCAGAGGUACCA